GCACAAGCAGUGGAGUAUGUGGUUUAAUUCGACGCAACGCGAAGAACCUUACCAAGUCUUGACAUCCCUUGACGAUACUGGAAACAGCAUUUCUCUUCGGAGCAAGGAGACAGGUGGUGCAUGGUUGUCGUCAGCUCGUGUCGUGAGAUGUUGGGUUAAGUCCCGCAACGAGCGCAACCCUUAUGGUCAGUUACUACGCAAGAGGACUCUGGCCAGACUGCCGUUGACAAAA
Molecule: ribosomal RNA, 232 nt
Filed under: uncultured bacterium
Lineage: Bacteria
Description: partial 16S ribosomal RNA
Rfam family: Bacterial small subunit ribosomal RNA
Source: RNAcentral